Molecule: long non-coding RNA, 1981 nt
Filed under: Gallus gallus (chicken)
Lineage: Eukaryota; Metazoa; Chordata; Aves; Galliformes; Phasianidae
Description: lncRNA (ENSGALG00010014752.1)
Source: RNAcentral
AAAGCAAAGCAGCAAAUCUGUUUUAUUGCUGUACCUAUACCAGUGGAGGAAGAGGGGGAAAAUACAGGAGGAAGAGGACAAGACAGACACGUGUUCAUUUAAAUAAUGUACCUCUGUGUGUGAGAGGAAAUUCACUGAACUGAAUUUAUUUUGCAGCCCCUGACGGACUCAUAGUUUCACAUUUGGUUCUCUCUACUUCAAGUGUCCUGGUCUGUUAUUUUUAUUGUAAUUUUGGUGAACAACUACUUGCUCUUUGCUAGUGGGUUGAUUAACACUCAAGUACUAAACAGCCUUCUAAUUGACUCCUACUUUGCACUCUUCCUCCAUGAAACAGAUGCCUUCAUACUGGGAGAACUACACUGUGGCAUCUUCCCAGUCUGCAAUCCCAGCAGCGCUUCCUGAGCCGAGUCUCACAUCAUGUGGAAUACCCUGAUUUGAUCUAACUGCAAGGAACAGUUUCCCACUUUUAUACAUGGAGGUAUUUUGGAAGAGGGUUUUGUUUUUGUUUUAAAUGCAACCCUGCUGUUCCAGCUCACAUUUUGUUUUCCCUAAGAGAAAAGAAAAACAACUGGAAAAUGGAUAAGAACUGCAUUGUUCCAAUCCCUACUUUCUGCCAUUUCAGUUAAUUACUGUAUUGCAGAAGUUGGUGACACUUUUCAAGAAACUGAAGUGAGCUGACCAUUGUGAAGGAAGAGAGGCUGACAGCAGAAGAGAGAGGCAAAGGGAUAAUGCCCCAGAGGCAGAAAAAAGCCAUGAGCAAAUUGAAUUACCACAACCCAUCCCAGUGAGUCCUCUGCCCUCUCUUGUCUACCUCACUUUGCUCAUUUAACCUAAAGAAAGACUUGUAGUACUGUAAAAGAGUAAAAUCUAUCCCUAUAACAGACAGUGUGACUUAGACGCAUGAGGACAGCCUUUGGGCCUUGUAUUCCAGCUAUACAGGCAGCACUUCCAUGUGGGAGCAAGGCGGAUGUGGUACCCACCCUAUCUGCAGGACAUAGGCUGCAGCCAUCUAUGCCCUUGUGGCCCUAUCUUGGCUUGAUGAAUUCCUCUCCACCUCAUCCUCUAUCUUGUCAGUGCUGAGCAUCAUGAUGUUAAGCCUAUUGGAAUACUUGUCUUAAAUCACAUGGAAAUAUAAAGCUUCUUCUCACAGGUGAAAUUCAGAGGCAAACACAAAGACCUGCCUGGUGCUUACAAGCUUCAUUACAACUUGUGCUGGCCAUGAUGGUCUCCCACUCCAAAGGAAGUGCCUAUAGAGCUGUGCAAAACUCAUCCCAUCCUGCUGAGAAUUUUCAGAUCUCAGAUUUUGCUUUGUCACCAACACAAAGAAAGCCGACCAGCUCUCCUCAGUGCCUGUGCCUGUUCAGGCUGCUCCCCUUAUUGAUGGGAGAAGGUGCUUCUGCUGAGGGACCUGUCUCACUGGAGGUAAAGAUGGAUGCAGAUCAAGCUGAUGUCAAGACUCCCAGAGCCCUAGUUUUCCUCUAGCUUCUGCUCCUGACAGCUGGGAGGGAAUGGGGAGCAGCCACCCCAGAACACUGAGUAAUUAUUUGCCUCUCUUGAACAAAUUGGAAGGAAGCUAGACAUUUUGUGAUGGAAAUUUUUCAGCUUCCCAUACAUUCCUCAGUAAAGUCAUGCCAUCCAUGUGGAAAGUUUUGAUUGUGACUCGUCAAUGAAGAAACAUGCCAUUGAGUAAUUGCUGUCCUGGCUUUAUUUGCAGUUGUCCUUCUUUUUGAACAUUAAUGAGAAAGCAACCUUAUGAGUCAGAAGCAGUUGGUGGGAGAGAACUUAACUGAGCUUACCUUUACUUCUUGUACUUGUAACUCAGAUAAGAUUCGAUGACCUCUUUCUCUUCUGUCUGCCUAGACCAUUCCCCAUCUCCAGCUGUGGACUAGCAGAUAGCUAGAAAUGGGUUGAUGCUCAUCUUAACCAAAACAGAGAUGUCAGGGGAAAAAAAAAAAAAAAAAAAAAAAAAGAAGAAGUAUUG